RNAcentral lists this ribosomal RNA (483 nucleotides) under uncultured bacterium. RNAcentral's name for it is "partial 16S ribosomal RNA". It matches the Rfam family "Bacterial small subunit ribosomal RNA", at positions 28 to 523 of the family's 1533-position model. The record is from RNAcentral.
GACGAACGCUGGCGGCGUGCCUAACACAUGCAAGUCGAGCGAGACCCCGCUUUCGGGUGGGUGUUCUAGCGGCGAACGGGUGAGUAACACGUGGGCAACCUGCCCUCAGCUCUGGGAUAACUCCAAGAAAUUGGGGCUAAUACCGGAUAUGACCGCUGACCGCAUGGUCUGGUGGUGGAAAGAUUUAUCGGCUGGGGAUGGGCCCGCGGCCUAUCAGUUUGUUGGUGGGGUAGUGGCCUACCAAGGCGACGACGGGUAGCCGGCCUGAGAGGGUGACCGGCCACACUGGGACUGAGACACGGCCCAGACUCCUACGGGAGGCAGCAGUGGGGAAUAUUGCGCAAUGGGCGAAAGCCUGACGCAGCGACGCCGCGUGGGGGAUGACGGCCUUCGGGUUGUAAACCUCUUUCAGCAGGGACGUAGCGAAAGUGACGGUACCUGCAGAAGAAGCACCGGCCAACUACGUGCCAGCCGCCGCCGUAA